AAGGGAGACCUAAUUCAGGUAGGAGACGAAAAAAAAGUAGUCCCAACCAAGAAUCAAUCCCAAAAGGUCGGAGCGAGGCGAAAUUGGCUUUCAAACUAGGUUCUGGGUUCACACAAGACCUGAAUCAGGAACAAGGGCUAUUAGCUCAGGUGGUUAGAGCGCACCCCUGAUAAGGGUGAGGUCCCUGGUUCGAGUCCAGGAUGGCCCACCUGCACAGGUGGCAAAAACAAGAGAAGCGAGGAAUCAGCACCUUAUCUUAUCUAUAUAUAUAUAGGAGAGAAUGCUGGCUCUGAGUAAAGAGUCCAGAGGAACCUUGAAAACUGCAUAGAGCUAGGCGAAAAAGCCAAAAAAGAAGACCGCAA
RNAcentral lists this transfer RNA (362 nucleotides) under uncultured Microcystis sp. Its description in RNAcentral is "partial 16S-23S ribosomal RNA intergenic spacer". The stretch from base 135 to 208 matches the Rfam family "tRNA". Lineage: Bacteria; Bacillati; Cyanobacteriota; Cyanophyceae; Chroococcales; Microcystaceae. The record is from RNAcentral.